CCUGGUUGAUUCUGCCAGUAGUCAUAUGCUUGUCUCAAAGAUUAAGCCAUGCAAGUCUAAGUAUAAGCAACUAUACGGUGAAACUGCGAAUGGCUCAUUAAAUCAGUUAUCGUUUAUUUGAUAGUACCUUACUACAUGGAUAACCGUGGUAAUUCUAGAGCUAAUACAUGCUAAAAACCCCGACUUCGGAAGGGGUGUAUUUAUUAGAUAAAAAACCAAUGCCCUUCGGGGCUCCUUGGUGAAUCAUAAUAACUUAACGAAUCGCAUGGCCUUGCGCCGGCGAUGGUUCAUUCAAAUUUCUGCCCUAUCAACUUUCGAUGGUAGGAUAGUGGCCUACCAUGGUAUCAACGGGUAACGGGGAAUUAGGGUUCUAUUCCGGAGAGGGAGCCUGAGAAACGGCUACCACAUCCAAGGAAGGCAGCAGGCGCGCAAAUUACCCAAUCCCGACUCGGGGAGGUAGUGACAAUAAAUACUGAUACAGGGCUCUUUUGGGUCUUGUAAUUGGAAUGAGUACAAUUUAAAUCCCUUAACGAGGAACAAUUGGAGGGCAAGUCUGGUGCCAGCAGCCGCGGUAAUUCCAGCUCCAAUAGCGUAUAUUAAAGUUGUUGCAGUUAAAAAGCUCGUAGUUGAACCUUGGGCCUGGCUGGCCGGUCCGCCUCACCGCGUGUACUGGUCCGGCCGGGCCUUUCCUUCUGGGGAGCCGCAUGGCCUUCACUGGCCGUGUCGGGGAACCAGGACUUUUACUUUGAAAAAAUUAGAGUGUUCAAAGCAGGCCUUUGCUCGAAUACAUUAGCAUGGAAUAAUAGAAUAGGACGUGCGAUCCUAUUUUGUUGGUUUCUAGGACCGCCGUAAUGAUUAAUAGGGAUAGUCGGGGGCAUCAGUAUUCAAUUGUCAGAGGUGAAAUUCUUGGAUUUAUUGAAGACUAACUACUGCGAAAGCAUUUGCCAAGGAUGUUUUCAUUAAUCAGUGAACGAAAGUUAGGGGAUCGAAGACGAUCAGAUACCGUCGUAGUCUUAACCAUAAACUAUGCCGACUAGGGAUCGGUGGAUGUUACUAUUAUGACUCCAUCGGCACCUUACGAGAAAUCAAAGUUUUUGGGUUCUGGGGGGAGUAUGGUCGCAAGGCUGAAACUU
RNAcentral lists this ribosomal RNA (1133 nucleotides) under marine metagenome. RNAcentral's name for it is "SSU rRNA". It matches the Rfam family "Eukaryotic small subunit ribosomal RNA", at positions 3 to 1145 of the family's 1831-position model. The record is from RNAcentral.